RNAcentral lists this transfer RNA (69 nucleotides) under Ictidomys tridecemlineatus (thirteen-lined ground squirrel). RNAcentral describes it as "Spermophilus tridecemlineatus (thirteen-lined ground squirrel) tRNA". It matches the Rfam family "tRNA". Rfam says of the family: Transfer RNA (tRNA) molecules are approximately 80 nucleotides in length. Their secondary structure includes four short double-helical elements and three loops (D, anti-codon, and T loops). The record is from Rfam by way of RNAcentral. Lineage: Eukaryota; Metazoa; Chordata; Mammalia; Rodentia; Sciuridae.
GGAGUUGUGGCUCAGUGGUAGAGCGCUCGUCUUGCGGGUGUAAUGCUCUGGGUUCGAUCCUCAGCACCA